UCCUCCUGGCUGCUCUCCUCUGUCACUGUGGAGAAACAGGAAGUAAUAUUUAUUAACAACACUGACUGGGGUCACACCCAAGGCAAUAUCAGAUUUUCACCUCUCCUGGGCCUGGGAAGAGGUUCAAGGAUCAAGGACAAACU
Molecule: long non-coding RNA, 143 nt
Filed under: Prolemur simus (greater bamboo lemur)
Lineage: Eukaryota; Metazoa; Chordata; Mammalia; Primates; Lemuridae
Description: CDKN2B antisense RNA 1 intronic convserved region (ENSPSMG00000011496.1)
Rfam family: CDKN2B antisense RNA 1 intronic convserved region
About the family: CDKN2B-AS, also known as ANRIL (antisense non-coding RNA in the INK4 locus) is a long non-coding RNA consisting of 19 exons, spanning 126.3kb in the genome, and spliced product is a 3834bp RNA. Single nucleotide polymorphisms (SNPs) which alter the expression of CDKN2B-AS are associated with many diseases, including coronary artery disease, diabetes and many cancers. It binds to chromobox 7 (CBX7) within the polycomb repressive complex 1 and to SUZ12, a component of polycomb repression complex 2 and through these interactions is involved in transciptional repression.
Source: RNAcentral